UUCAUGCUGAAGACCGCCCUCAUCCAUGAUGGCCUAGCAUGUGGAAUUCGCGAAGCUGCCAAAGCCUUAGACAAGUGCCAAGCCCAUCUUUGUGUGCUUGCAUCCAGCUGUGAUGAGCCUAUGUAUGUCAAGUUGGUGGAAGCUCUUUGUGCUGAGCACCAAAUCAACCUGAUCAAGAUUGAUGACAACAAGAAGCUAGGGGAAUGGGUAGGCCUCUGUAAAACUGACAGAGAGGGAAAACCCCGUAAAGUGGCUGGUUGCAGCUGUGUGGUGGUUAAGGACUAUGGCAAAGAGUCUCAGGCCAAGGAUGUCAUCGAGGAAUACUUCAAAUGCAAGAAAUGAUCAAAUAAAAAAACUGGGCUCUUGUU
Vicugna pacos (alpaca) is the source of this 368-nucleotide non-coding RNA. Lineage: Eukaryota; Metazoa; Chordata; Mammalia; Artiodactyla; Camelidae. The record is from RefSeq and is a predicted model, not a curated record.